Molecule: long non-coding RNA, 882 nt
Organism: Ipomoea nil (Japanese morning glory)
Lineage: Eukaryota; Viridiplantae; Streptophyta; Magnoliopsida; Solanales; Convolvulaceae
Exons: 4
Source: RefSeq, a predicted model, not a curated record
AACUUUCACCAUUUCUCCCAAUUAUCUUCCUCUCAUCUCUCAUCUCAUAUCAUUGCUAUCAAUCUCACUCUACCUGUACCCAUUUGGAAAUCACUUCAUUCUCUACCACACCACAAAUUUUAUUGAAUUUCCGUAAGAACAACAUCGUGGAUGAACUCUUCGUUUGUUGGUUCCAUAAGGUGCGCAUUGAAAGAGCAGAGAAGAACACCCAGAGUAGAGAAGAACACCUACUCUGCACACCGCCAUAGCAGCUUAAUGAUCCGAGCAACAAACUUCGGCAACCAUGGCGAUACAGAGAGCUUUCAUAAGAAACAAUCUAACUACUACGGCAAAAAAGAAAAAAUAAAAGAAAAAAGAAAAGAAGGAAUACAACUCAAUAUCUACUCUAGAAACAUUCCUAGAUGCACAUGCAGACGGUUGACGAAGUAUAAAAUCUUCAUCGUCCAUGGUUGAUACAGACAGUGUUCUUAAGAUCCGGCCAAGAAGACAUAGAAAGAGUCAACACUGAGUUGGAUUGAGCAGUUGACUGAAGAAGCUGAGCCAGGUAAACCAAAGCUUCAAAGAUGGCUAGAUAAUUUUGGGGUGCAAUAUGGCAAAUAAGAUUAGAUGCUUACCUCCCGAUCAUGGAACACGCAUUCUCGACAUUUGACAACCUCACUGCCGCUACAUUCUCUAACUCCAUAUGUACGAAUACAUCUUACCUUCAACGCACAAGUGGUUUUCAUGGGUGUUAUCUGAUUGGCCAAAAUGUAGAGAGGAGGCAUACUUGAACUGGUAUUUUUAACUGAUCUAACAAAGUGUUUGUAGUGAUGUAGAAUUACCGGGAUGUAUAUGAAAUGAUAUUAGACUCCUUUUAUAAGCCAUGAAUUAGAGUUCUAUUAU